CCCGCUGAACUUAAGCAUAUCAAUAAGCGGAGGAAAAGAAACCAACAGGGAUUGCCUUAGUAACGGCGAGUGAAGCGGCAAAAGCUCAAAUUUGAAAUCUGGCCUUUAGGCCCGAAUUGUAAUUUGUAGAGGAAUAUUCGGCAAUGUCAUUGGUAUAAGUUUCCUGGAACGGAACGUCUUGGAGGGUGAGAACCCCGUAUAUUACUGAAUGACAACGCUAUGUGAAUAUCCUUCGAAGAGUCGAGUUGUUUGGGAAUGCAGCUCAAAAUGGGUGGUAAAUUCCAUCUAAAGCUAAAUAUUGGCCAGAGACCGAUAGCGCACAAGUAGAGUGAUCGAAAGAUGAAAAGCACUUUGGAAAGAGAGUGAAACAGUACGUGAAAUUGUUGAAAGGGAAGCGCUUGCAACCAGACUUGAUUGUAGACAUUCCGCUUGUCAUUUGACAAGUUCACUUGUUUAUAAACAGGCCAACAUCGGUUUUUGACGGUUGGAUAAAGGUUUGAGGAAUGUGACACUCUUCGGGGUGAGUUAUAGCCUCUUACACAAUACAGCCAGUUAGGACCGAGGACCGCGUUCGCUUGGAUGUUGGCGUAAUGGUUGUCAGCGGCCCGUCUUGAAACACGG
Molecule: ribosomal RNA, 621 nt
Filed under: uncultured fungus
Lineage: Eukaryota; Fungi
Description: eukaryotic LSU rRNA
Rfam family: Eukaryotic large subunit ribosomal RNA
Source: RNAcentral